GAUCCUGGCUCAGGAUGAACGCUAGCUACAGGCUUAACACAUGCAAGUCGAGGGGCAGCAUGACCUAGCAAUAGGUUGAUGGCGACCGGCGCACGGGUGAGUAACACGUAUCCAACCUACCGGUUAUUCUGGGAUAGCCUUUCGAAAGAAAGAUUAAUACCGGAUAGCAUAACGAGAAGGCACCUUCUUGUUAUUAAAGAAUUUCGAUAACCGAUGGGGAUGCGUUCCAUUAGUUUGUUGGCGGGGUAACGG
RNAcentral lists this ribosomal RNA (252 nucleotides) under uncultured bacterium. Its description in RNAcentral is "partial 16S ribosomal RNA". It matches the Rfam family "Bacterial small subunit ribosomal RNA", at positions 15 to 263 of the family's 1533-position model. The record is from RNAcentral.